Patiria miniata (bat star) is the source of this 559-nucleotide long non-coding RNA. RefSeq lists it as uncharacterized. The record is from RefSeq and is a predicted model, not a curated record. The transcript is spliced from 3 exons. Lineage: Eukaryota; Metazoa; Echinodermata; Asteroidea; Valvatida; Asterinidae.
CAUUGGUCAACUAUAGUCCUUGCGCGAACUUGGCCUAGAAUUGUAUUUGUGGACAAACACAUAGCUGUUUCGACAGUUGUUUAGUGACAUCUGUCAUGUAGGAGUUUCAACCAAGUGGGGUGUACAUUCACGUAUGGUUCCGAAAUUAUUGGGCUUUGUAGAAGUGAAAUUGGUGUAAAUUAACAAAUUUUAGAAAUCAAUACAAAUUCACAUGAUUGCGUCAUAUUGACGUCGGUUUAUUUCCCAUGUAUAUCCCAUACGUGACUAUAUACUUACCAUACCGGAAGCGUGUUGGGGCUGGUAUCCUGGGAUGUGGUGCCCUGUUUAAACUAACCAAGAAGAUAUCCCCAUAAAAAAGCAAGGUGCAAGCUACCACAGAUGAGAAGGUUACUGGAGAGAAGAGGGAAAGUAGUGAUGAACCAACAAAUUCAGGGGAAUCCGAUCGUCAAAUCCCAGGUGACGACAUGACCAUCGGUUUGGGUUUGCAUCCGUGCUGCAGACGUCAGUUUGUCCUGAAAGGCAGUGGGUUCUGGAUCGACAACUCACUUCUCCUUCGUGA